Molecule: RNA transcript, 683 nt
Organism: Jatropha curcas
Lineage: Eukaryota; Viridiplantae; Streptophyta; Magnoliopsida; Malpighiales; Euphorbiaceae
Source: RefSeq, a predicted model, not a curated record
UGGGUGACAAGAGUCAUUCAGGUGAAUGGUACUAAAAGUAUGCUAGAAUAUUAGAUAUCCUAUUCGCUGGCUUCUUCAACGAAUAGGUUAUCCUACCAUUUUUUUCUUAUCUAAAAACAAGGGUUUAAAACUUCUCCCUUUAGUUUGCAAACAGAAACCCUGAAUAAUAAACUAGUUUCUUUGUUGGUUGAUGUAGUUUUAGAACCAGAACUAAACUUUUCAUAUAUAAAAUCUUCAGAACAUGCUCAGCUUUGAUAGUUUCCUAUUAUCCUAUCAUUUUCCGCAUCAAACUUAUUCAUCCUGCAACUGAAAAUAUUUUUGCGGCUCUGUUUCUGUUGCAGUGAUGCUUUCAUUAGUAGAAACGUAUAGAACUGCAGAAUUGCUUCCUUCUAUACGAGGGACCUGACCAUCUUAAAACUUCCCUGGUUUGUUGGAUCACAAAGUUGCUUAUGGAUGUUUAGGCUUCAUUCAUCUAGGCUUCGUAUUCUGCUUUUCCUGGUUGUGAAAAACUUUACUUUUUGAAGUGGAGUUGGACUCAAAUGCAAACAUUCAUAUCUUACUACAGUAGAAGAUUAAUAACAUCUCGGUAAUGUUACUUAUGCUAUGAAAAGAAUUGUUCUCAUGAAGUGACUAUAUGCUCUCCAUGCAACGAGGAUGGCAUUUCUGGCCUGAAUUCUUUACAC